AGUUAAUUAACUUAAUAAAAGUUUAUAUUUUGAAAAUAUAAUAUAUAAGUUAGAGUCUUAUAUUAACUU
RNAcentral lists this transfer RNA (69 nucleotides) under Agramma hupehanum. RNAcentral describes it as "tRNA-Ser". It matches the Rfam family "tRNA". Rfam says of the family: Transfer RNA (tRNA) molecules are approximately 80 nucleotides in length. Their secondary structure includes four short double-helical elements and three loops (D, anti-codon, and T loops). The record is from RNAcentral. Lineage: Eukaryota; Metazoa; Arthropoda; Insecta; Hemiptera; Tingidae.